Molecule: ribosomal RNA, 1395 nt
Filed under: Clostridioides difficile
Lineage: Bacteria; Bacillati; Bacillota; Clostridia; Peptostreptococcales; Peptostreptococcaceae
Description: bacterial LSU rRNA
Rfam family: Bacterial large subunit ribosomal RNA
Source: RNAcentral
GCAUUGAGGCAGUCAAAGUAGGCAAAUCCGCUUUGAUAAUGCUGGGAUGUGAUGGGGAGCGAAAUUUAGUAGCGAAGUAGCUGAUUUCACACUGUCAAGAAAAGUCUCUAUCGAGGUUAAAGGUACCCGUACCGCAAACCGACACAGGUGGGUGAGGAGAGUAUCCUAAGGCCAGCGAGAGAACUGUUGUUAAGGAACUCGGCAAAAUGACCCCGUAACUUAGGGAUAAGGGGUGCCACCAUCAGGUGGCCGCAGAGAAUAGGCCCAAGCGACUGUUUACCAAAAACAUAGGUUUCUGCUAAGUCGCAAGACGAUGUAUAGGAGCUGACGCCUGCCCGGUGCUGGAAGGUUAAGGGGAUCUGUUAGAGCAAUCGAAGCAGUGAACUUAAGCCCCAGUAAACGGCGGCCGUAACUAUAACGGUCCUAAGGUAGCGAAAUUCCUUGUCGGGUAAGUUCCGACCCGCACGAAAGGCGUAACGAUUUGGGCACUGUCUCAACAACAGACUCGGUGAAAUUGUAAUUCCGGUGAAGAUGCCGGAUACCUGCGACAGGACGGAAAGACCCCAUGGAGCUUUACUGUAGCUUGACAUUGGGUCUUGGUACUACAUGUACAGGAUAGGUGGGAGGCUUUGAAACCAGGACGCCAGUUUUGGCGGAGCCAUCCUUGGGAUACCACCCUUGUAGUACUGGGACUCUAACCAUAGGCCAUGAAUCUGGUCUUGGGACACUGUCAGGUGGGCAGUUUGACUGGGGCGGUCGCCUCCCAAAAGGUAACGGAGGCGCUCAAAGGUUCUCUCAGUACGGUCGGAAAUCGUACGUAGAGUGUAAAGGCAAAAGAGAGCUUGAUUGCAAGACAUACAGGUCGAGCAAGGAUGAAAAUCGGACUUAGUGAUCCGGUGGUUCUGCGUGGAAGGGCCAUCGCUCAACGGAUAAAAGCUACCCUGGGGAUAACAGGCUUAUCUCCCCCAAGAGUCCACAUCGACGGGGAGGUUUGGCACCUCGAUGUCGGCUCAUCACAUCCUGGGGCUGUAGUAGGUCCCAAGGGUUGGGCUGUUCGCCCAUUAAAGUGGUACGCGAGCUGGGUUCAGAACGUCGUGAGACAGUUCGGUCCCUAUCCGUCGCAGGCGUAGGAAAUUUGAGAAGACCUGUCCUUAGUACGAGAGGACCGGGAUGGACGUACCUCUGGUGUACCAGUUGUCCUGCCAAGGGCAUGGCUGGGUAGCUAUGUACGGAAUGGAUAAGCGCUGAAAGCAUCUAAGCGCGAAGCCAACUUCAAGAUAAGAUUUCCCACCGCAAGGGUAAGACCCCAGAAAGACUAUCUGGUUGAUAGGUCGAAGGUGUAAGUGCAGCAAUGUAUUUAGCUUAUCGAUACUAAUAGGUCGAGGACUUGACCAA